AUGAACGCUGGCGGCGUGCCUAAUACAUGCAAGUCGAGCGAACGGACGAGAAGCUUGCUUCUCUGAUGUUAGCGGCGGACGGGUGAGUAACACGUGGAUAACCUACCUAUAAGACUGGGAUAACUUCGGGAAACCGGAGCUAAUACCGGAUGAUAUUUUGAACCGCAUGGUUCAAAAGUGAAAGACGGUCUUGCUGUCACUUAUAGAUGGAUCCGCGCUGCAUUAGCUAGUUGGUAAGGUAACGGCUUACCAAGGCAACGAUGCAUAGCCGACCUGAGAGGGUGAUCGGCCACACUGGAACUGAGACACGGUCCAGACUCCUACGGGAGGCAGCAGUAGGGAAUCUUCCGCAAUGGGCGAAAGCCUGACGGAGCAACGCCGCGUGAGUGAUGAAGGUCUUCGGAUCGUAAAGCUCUGUUAUUAGGGAAGAACAUAUGUGGAAGUAACUGUGCACAUCUUGACGGUACCUAAUCAGAAAGCCACGGCUAACUACGUG
RNAcentral lists this ribosomal RNA (496 nucleotides) under uncultured bacterium. Its description in RNAcentral is "partial 16S ribosomal RNA". It matches the Rfam family "Bacterial small subunit ribosomal RNA", at positions 29 to 507 of the family's 1533-position model. The record is from RNAcentral.